CUAAAAGACAAAAAGAAAAAGCACCUUGCGAAAUUCUUUAAUUUUACUCUCCGAUAUAUUGAUGAUGUUCUAUCAUUGAAUAACCCAUAUUUCAGCCAAUACUUACAUCUCAUAUAUCCCAGUGAACUUGAAAUUAAGGAUACUACUGAUACUAGAAGGACUGCUUCAUACCUUGAUCUUUUCCUCAAUAUUGACGCAGAUGGACGACUUCACACGAAAAUCUAUGAUAAACUGGAC
RNAcentral lists this long non-coding RNA (237 nucleotides) under Mytilus galloprovincialis (Mediterranean mussel). The record is from RNAcentral. Lineage: Eukaryota; Metazoa; Mollusca; Bivalvia; Mytilida; Mytilidae.